This 220-nucleotide long non-coding RNA is filed under the name Lathyrus oleraceus (garden pea). RNAcentral describes it as "Pisum sativum (pea) long non-coding RNA (PSAT_LNC041912)". Lineage: Eukaryota; Viridiplantae; Streptophyta; Magnoliopsida; Fabales; Fabaceae. The record is from RNAcentral.
UUAAAACACCAUGAAUGUAACCAUUGGCCAAAAACACUUCCUCACCCUGCUCAGAGUCGUGAGAAUAUAUUCCAAUUGUGUUGAAAAGCUAAGUUUGGGGUAAAAAACCCCAAAAGCUCUCAAAGCCCUAGAAGAUGCAAAAACAAUAGAAAAAGAAAAAGUGAUGAAUCGAGAAAAAGAAAGAAAAAUAAAAAUCAAAUACUCGAUGAUUCCAAAGAAA